GAAAAGCAUUACAAUCCAUGAAGAAUAUUUCUACACUAGAGAUAAAAAUAAAACAAGGAGUUAAAAUGUAAAAACUCAAUGGAAAAGCUACUUGAAAGAGGUGAUUAAUUUGGCUAUCAACAGUGAUCAUCCUUUCCUCCAAGUUAAUUUUAGUAACAGCCAUCCUAACAGAAUGAAGAAGAAAAGAAGAAUGUUUGCAAAUAACACUACAAAAAUUUGUCACUAGCCCAUCUGCAUUACAAGAAGUGCUAAAGGAACUUGUUCAGUAUGAAGAAAAUGAUACCCAAUGAAAGCUUGUAUGUUCAGGAUGGAAAGAAGAGAAUAA
Molecule: long non-coding RNA, 325 nt
Organism: Herpailurus yagouaroundi (jaguarundi)
Lineage: Eukaryota; Metazoa; Chordata; Mammalia; Carnivora; Felidae
Exons: 3
Source: RefSeq, a predicted model, not a curated record